UUACUACAGUUCAAUACGGAUUCAGCUUGAAUGUAAAACCUGAUUUUAAAUUCAAAAUGAUACUUCAACUAUUUCUGGUUCUCUUUUACAAACGAAGUUAAAUCUAAACUAAAAGUACUAGCUAUGUAUAAAUUCUAACUGGACGACUCCAAGUUUAAACAACCCAAAACAAUGGCUAAGUGAUGCGCAUGCAUACUAAAAUUUAACAUGACAUGAUCAACACAAGCUCAACCAAAAUAAACUGCUAACUCUACAUUUAUUGCUUCCAGGAACACUUGUAAUGAGUUUAACAGUCUACCAUUUAUCAAUCAGUAAUUCAAUACAGUCCUAAAAUGAACAUGAAUAUAUAAUCGAAUAUUUAAAGCUACAACAACUUUCAACACAUUCCAUUGAACAGAUGGCAAUUCAUUGUUAUUGAUUUUCCAAAUCACUCAUACAUUUGAACCAAGUCUCCACACCAUUUGGGAUAGGAAAGUGUACCUGGUAGAAGAACAGAGAUACAGUAGAAGAGAAGUCAGCAGCAGUAGCAGUAGUACAGCAGCAGAUUCAGCAAAACACAACAGCAACCAAAAAAGCCCAGCAAUAGAUUAAGACCCAACAGUCGCUUCAGAAAAACACCAUACAUUAAUACUAAAUCCACCAGAAAUUCCCAGCAUGCGACCCCAAUACCCAACAGCAAUAUAAACCACCACAGUAUGACCCAAACUUGAGUUUUCAACAAGAGAUAGACCAGCAGACUCAAAAAGACCCAAUAAAACAACACCAGCUGCAGUCCUGAGAUUCGAAGAUGCAACAGAAAAGACCUCUUUUAUCUCUCAAAAUACUCUUUUAGCUCUGGGAAAUUAGCUCAACUUUCAGCCUAUUUCAACUCAAUAUCUUCUGACUUCUGAAGGUUCAGAAAAAAAUCAGCAGCUAAGAGCUUUUAAAAAUUCUGAAAUCUUAGUGUUUAUCCCCCCUCUAUUGUUCUAAAUGAACCUAUUUAUAGGCCAAAAGGGCAAGCACCAGGCUGCCUCUUCAACUUUGCCCAUACCCCUUAAAACUAAUCAGAAAUGCCCAUCCUCCUGACAGUCCAUAUCAUGUGUUUUCUGCCCAAAAGGUAUGGGCAGCCUAUAAUAUUCAAUUACCCCAUGCUAUCAAGUUUUGUUCCCCACUAGUAAUAAAUAAUUGUAGUAAUUUAAUCACAUUUCAGUACCCUACUUUCAGCCUCUUAAACUAACCAAUAUGUGAACUUUUCAAUCCCAAACUACCCCUUUAACCCCUGUGUAUUACUGUUUUACCCUAAGCUUCAACAGACUGAAAUUUGAACUUAUGGAAGUUCAAACUCAACAACUGCCCUAAUGCUGAGUUCUAUCUAUUCCUCUAAUUGCACUGCAGCUACAAACCAUUCACAGAUAAUUUCAAACAAUCAACUAAACUACAAUGGUUCGAUCAAUCAUAUGAAGCUAUACGAAUCAGAAUAUUUGAACAUUCAGUCCUGUAAAACUAAUCGACAAUGUUUAUCUAAUCGACUAUAGUAAUUAUAACAUAGAACAAUCAGUCGAUAAACAAAUAACACGAACAGGGCCCCAAAUGGCUUCAGACAGCUUUGCACAAAACAGAGGAACAACGUGAAUGAAACACUUGACGACACUGAUCAAAUCGAGUAUGUAUCUCACCAUACGUAUUUAACAAUAAACAGAAGAAUAGUCGACCAAAUAAAAGGUCUUAUGAAGAUGGAAAUAAUUGACAGAAAAUACCAGCAAAAUCAACAAAUUAACUAAACAUGUUAACAAACACAAACAACAUUCAAACAAGAACAGAAAGGAAAAAGAAAACUUACUUUGGAAGUUCAACAACAAACGACCCAGGUCUGACUGGAUUUGACCAUUUGAGGUCGA
This 1877-nucleotide long non-coding RNA is filed under the name Nicotiana tabacum (common tobacco). Its description in RNAcentral is "long non-coding RNA (NTAB_LNC018317)". The record is from RNAcentral. Lineage: Eukaryota; Viridiplantae; Streptophyta; Magnoliopsida; Solanales; Solanaceae.